GAUACCGUAGAUAAAUCUCCUUUCAAACUUUACCAUUUGAUAGUUCUGUGUGUUGAUUUCCUGUUACCGAUACUAAUCAAUCUUAGUAUCCGUUUGUAUCCCUUUUGCGAGGUCCUUCAAUCAACCAAACCAGGAACCUCGGGAUGCUUCAUGUCUACUACCGGAUUACCUUGAGAAGUCCGAGACACUUCUCGAAACUCUUUCCAGGUAAACACUUUGUCAACAUAUCUAUGUCUACUACCGGAUUACCUUGAGAAGUCCGAGACACUUCUCGAAACUCUUCCCAGG
RNAcentral lists this long non-coding RNA (288 nucleotides) under Brassica napus (rape). RNAcentral's name for it is "long non-coding RNA (BNAP_LNC000027)". The record is from RNAcentral. Lineage: Eukaryota; Viridiplantae; Streptophyta; Magnoliopsida; Brassicales; Brassicaceae.